CCUACGGGAGGCUGCAGUGGGGAAUAUUGGACAAUGGGGGGAACCCUGAUCCAGCCAUGCCGCGUGUGUGAAGAAGGCCCUCGGGUUGUAAAGCACUUUCAGUGAGGAAGAACGCCUGGUGGUUAAUACCCAUCAGGAAAGACAACUCCCACAGAAGAAGCACCGGCUAACUCCGUGCCAGCAGCCGCGGUAAUACGGAGGGGGCGAGCGUUAAUCGGAAUUACUGGGCGUAAAGCGCGCGUAGGUGGCUUGAUAAGCCGGUUGUGAAAGCCCCGGGCUCAACCUGGGAACGGCAUCCGGAACUGUCAAGCUAGAGUGCAGGAGAGGAAGGUGGAAUUCCCGGUGUAGCGGUGAAAUGCGUAGAGAUCGGGAGGAAUACCAGUGGCGAAGGCGGCCUUCUGGACUGACACUGACACUGAGGUGCGAAAGCGUGGGUAGCAAACAGGAUUAGAUACCCGGGUAGUC
This 465-nucleotide ribosomal RNA is filed under the name Vreelandella stevensii. RNAcentral describes it as "partial 16S ribosomal RNA". It matches the Rfam family "Bacterial small subunit ribosomal RNA", at positions 338 to 795 of the family's 1533-position model. Lineage: Bacteria; Pseudomonadati; Pseudomonadota; Gammaproteobacteria; Oceanospirillales; Halomonadaceae. The record is from RNAcentral.